UGGAGAGUUUGAUCCUGGCUCAGGACGAACGCUGGCGGCGUGCCUAAUACAUGCAAGUAGGACGCACAGUUUAUACCGUAGCUUGCUACACCAUAGACUGUGAGUUGCGAACGGGUGAGUAACGCGUAGGUAACCURCCUAUUAGAGGGGGAUAACUAUUGGAAACGAUAGCUAAUACCGCAUAACAGUAUGUAACACAUGUUAGAUGCUUGAAAGAUGCAAUUGCAUCGCUAGUAGAUGGACCUGCGUUGUAUUAGCUAGUAGGUAGGGUAAUGGCCUACCUAGGCRACGAUACAUAGCCGACCUGAGAGGGUGAUCGGCCACACUGGGACUGAGACACGGCCCAGACUCCUACGGGAGGCAGCAGUAGGGAAUCUUCGGCAAUGGGGGGAACCCUGACCGAGCAACGCCGCGUGAGUGAAGAAGGUUUUCGGAUCGUAAAGCUCUGUUGUUAAGGAAGAACGAGUGUGAGAAUGGAAAGUUCAUACUGUGACGGUACUUAACCAGAAAGGGACGGCUAACUACGUGCCAGCAGCCGCGGUA
This 543-nucleotide ribosomal RNA is filed under the name Streptococcus anginosus. RNAcentral describes it as "bacterial SSU rRNA". It matches the Rfam family "Bacterial small subunit ribosomal RNA", at positions 1 to 522 of the family's 1533-position model. Lineage: Bacteria; Bacillati; Bacillota; Bacilli; Lactobacillales; Streptococcaceae. The record is from RNAcentral.